Molecule: long non-coding RNA, 649 nt
Organism: Papaver somniferum (opium poppy)
Lineage: Eukaryota; Viridiplantae; Streptophyta; Magnoliopsida; Ranunculales; Papaveraceae
Exons: 3
Source: RefSeq, a predicted model, not a curated record
AAACUCACUUCUCUUUCUUCUUCUUUCUUCCCUGUUCUUCUUCUUCCUGUUCUUUCUCUGUUUGAUCUCUGUUGAUUCUUGGUGAGUUAUGUGAGAAAUUAUCGAAGUAAACUGGAUGUCGAAGUUGUUUUAACGAUGAUGAGGAUGGUGUAGUUCUAAUUUGUAAAGAAGAACAAUUAAAGAUUGUUACAGUUUCGGGAUAAGUUUGAGAAGAUCAAAAUUAAGGUUUGGAAUGAAACUGGGUCGUUAAUGGAUGAAGAAUUGAAGGGUUGUUAUCGAAUUGACAAGGAGAAGUUGUUCUGAUGGUGAAUCGAAAAUCAGUUACUCCUUAUUAACAACGAUCGAUUUAAAAGACGAACCAGUGGAUUGUACAUCUCGAGGUAUGCGAGGCUUGUCAUCAAAAGAGUUUCAGUAUUCAGAAGAAAAGGUGCACGUGAAGAUAUUCGUUUCUGUAGCGUAAAGUUUCAGCGAAUUGAAGAUGUUUAUUUACAAAUUAUAUACGUAUACUUCUCUGUAAACAACACAUGGUUAUAUACAUAUCACAUGAGAGAUAUUCAUUUCUACUGUAUCAGAGUGUAUGGGUUUUCUUUUGGGCUUAGCUUAUGUAGUCUAGAUUCUUAAGAUCAUUAAUCUAGAAUUUAUGCUUCAA